This is a long non-coding RNA of Glycine soja, 731 nucleotides long. RefSeq lists it as uncharacterized. NCBI's taxonomy places the organism in Eukaryota, Viridiplantae, Streptophyta, Magnoliopsida, Fabales, Fabaceae. The record is from RefSeq and is a predicted model, not a curated record. The transcript is spliced from 2 exons.
UAAAAAAUUCAACCAAUUUUAAUUUGGCUUCAUAUUUGCCGCCUAUUGGACCUCCUUGUUACAUUUGGUCAUUUGUAGUUACUAUUUUAAUCAUUUUCUCAUUUAGAUAUCAUGAAUAUAACAAGAGUUAAGGGGAUCCAUAAGUCAUAACUCAUUACCACAGGAUAAUGACAAAAAUACACCAGCCGAAGCGACAAAAAUCUUAUUAUAUCAUUGUUGUAAGGACUUUGGACAAUGUGAUUUGCUUCUUUUCAUUUGCAUGUUGAAUAAUUUGAAUUGCAUGGAUUACAUGAUGAUUGUUUUCUUCAUGAUGAGUAAGUCCGUACACGAACCAAGAUUGCUAGAUCCCAUAGCGCGUCUGAGUCAGAGUAUUGACUUCUUGUAGGUGUGGGAGGGCGUGUGGGAGGGCGUGUGAUCGUAUUAUCACAACUAAGAAAAGCAUGAUCAUUGUUCAAAGUCAAUUCAAGUUCGCUUAACCUGUUAAGCUCUGGCAUGACAACUGUUACAGGGUUUGGCCUGUCCUUCUUGGUGAGUUCUGCAUACUUCAAUGCUAAUUUGGCAAGUGAUAGAGGUGAUAGUUAUAUAAAAGUAUUUUGAUUUAUUGAAUAAGUUUGUGUAACUUUAUUGAAUUAGUAAAAAUUUUCUUCAAUAGUGUGUGAAGAUUUUAUAUUUAUUGAGAGUGAUAUAUGUUGUUAUCAACUCUUUCAUCGAGUAGAACUUUAAAGAAUAAA